RNAcentral lists this ribosomal RNA (574 nucleotides) under uncultured bacterium. Its description in RNAcentral is "bacterial SSU rRNA". It matches the Rfam family "Bacterial small subunit ribosomal RNA", at positions 102 to 674 of the family's 1533-position model. The record is from RNAcentral.
ACGGGUGCGUAACGCGUAGGAAUCUGCCUUGAAGAGGGGGACAACCCGAGGAAACUCGGGCUAAUACCGCAUAAUAUCGAGAGAUCAAAGCUAGGUGGCAACAUCUGGUACUUCAAGAGGAGCCUGCGUCCGAUUAGCUAGUUGGUGGGGUAAAGGCCUACCAAGGCGAUGAUCGGUAGCUGGUCUGAGAGGAUGACCAGCCACACUGGGACUGAGACACGGCCCAGACUCCUACGGGAGGCAGCAGUGGGGAAUAUUGGACAAUGGGGGCAACCCUGAUCCAGCAAUGCCGCGUGUGUGAAGAAGGCCUUCGGGUUGUAAAGCACUUUAGUUGGGGAGGAAGGUGUAUUGUUUAAGAGAUGAUACAUUUGACUGUACCCAAAGAAUAAGCACCGGCUAACUCUGUGCCAGCAGCCGCGGUAAUACAGAGGGUGCGAGCGUUAAUCGGAAUUACUGGGCGUAAAGGGCGCGUAGGCGGUUAUUUAAGUUGGAUGUGAAAUCCCUGGGCUUAACCUAGGAACUGCAUCCGAUACUGGAUAGCUGGAGUGCGGUAGAGGGUAGUGGAAUUUCCGGU